This 253-nucleotide ribosomal RNA is filed under the name uncultured bacterium. RNAcentral's name for it is "partial 16S ribosomal RNA". It matches the Rfam family "Bacterial small subunit ribosomal RNA", at positions 524 to 776 of the family's 1533-position model. The record is from RNAcentral.
UAAGAAGGGGGCUAGCGUUGCUCGGAAUCACUGGGCGUAAAGCGCACGUAGGCGGGUUCUUAAGUCAGGGGUGAAAUCCUGGAGCUCAACUCCAGAACUGCCUUUGAUACUGGAGAGCUUGAGUCCGGGAGAGGUGAGUGGAACUCCGAGUGUAGAGGUGAAAUUCGUAGAUAUUCGGAAGAACACCAGUGGCGAAGGCGGCUCACUGGCCCGGUACUGACGCUGAGGUGCGAAAGCGUGGGGAGCAAACAGG